UCAGGUCAGCGGCGGACGGGUGAGUAACACGUGGGUAACCUGCCUAUAAGAUUGGGAUAACUCCGGGAAACCGGGGCUAAUACCGGAUAACAUCAAGAGCUGCAUGGUUUCUGGUUGAAAGGCGGCUUCGGCUGUCACUUCUAGAUGGACCCGCGGCGCAUUAGCUAGUUGGUGGGGUAACGGCUCACCAAGGCGACGAUGCGUAGCCGACCUGAGAGGGUGAUCGGCCACACUGGGACUGAGACACGGCCCAGACUCCUACGGGAGGCAGCAGUAGGGAAUCUUCCGCAAUGGACGAAAGUCUGACGGAGCAACGCCGCGUGAGUGAAGAAGGUUUUCGGAUCGUAAAACUCUGUUGUCAGGGAAGAACAAGUAUCGGAGUAACUGCCGGUACCUUGACGGUACCUGACCAGAAAGCCACGGCUAACUACGUGCCAGCAGCCGCGGUAAUACGUAGGUGGCAAGCGUUGUCCGGAAUUAUUGGGCGUAAAGCGCGCGCAGGCGGCCUUUUAAGUCUGAUGUGAAAGCCCCCGGCUCAACCGGGGAGGGUCAUUGGAAACUGGAAGGCUUGAGUGCAGAAGAGAAGAGCGGAAUUCCACGUGUAGCGGUGAAAUGCGUAGAGAUGUGGAGGAACACCAGUGGCGAAGGCGGCUCUUUGGUCUGUAACUGACGCUGAGGCGCGAAAGCGUGGGGAGCGAACAGGAUUAGAUACCCUGGUAGUCCACGCCGUAAACGAUGAGUGCUAAGUGUUGGGGGGUUUCCGCCCCUCAGUGCUGCAGCUAACGCAUAAGCACUCC
RNAcentral lists this ribosomal RNA (797 nucleotides) under Domibacillus indicus. RNAcentral's name for it is "bacterial SSU rRNA". It matches the Rfam family "Bacterial small subunit ribosomal RNA", at positions 87 to 870 of the family's 1533-position model. Lineage: Bacteria; Bacillati; Bacillota; Bacilli; Caryophanales; Bacillaceae. The record is from RNAcentral.